Molecule: long non-coding RNA, 452 nt
Organism: Amblyraja radiata (thorny skate)
Lineage: Eukaryota; Metazoa; Chordata; Chondrichthyes; Rajiformes; Rajidae
Exons: 3
Source: RefSeq, a predicted model, not a curated record
CAGGUGCAGGCAAAUGGGACCUCCUGGGUUAGGCAACUUGUGUUGUAGCCAUUUAGCUUAACUCAGUAUGUUAUAACUAUAACUUUACAUUUUAUCUGCCUGUAAUUAUGUGGGUGAGAUUUAUUACGUAGUCGGAGGCGUGUUUGAGGCUGGGAUUCUCGCGCAGAAGCUCUAGCAGUUUUUAGUUUAGCUGGAGGAAGCAUGGGGGAGAAGGCACAGCUUUCAACCAUGCACGGGUUCCUCCAUGCACGAGUUUGACUACGAGUAAGAGCAAAAUGUACUUAAACAGGAAGAAGUUUGGAUGAAUAUCUUACUGUUUUUACUACGACAACAAAUAAACUAUUAAUUAAGAGACUGUGUUUUGAAGAUUUAUCUUUGGACCGCUUUGAAUGUCUUGUGGAGAUAUCGCAUUCGUAUCAAAAUUAUCUCCUUACCCCAGACUCAAACAAAAA